UUUUUUUUUUUUUUUCCAUUCUCACAUUUCAAAUGCUUUGAUUAUUUUCUCCCCCUUGCCUCAUUUUAAAUUAAUAACAUUUUAUAUGAUAAGAAAGAUUCCCUUUCUAUUGUGUGCUAUUUUAUCUCAAAAAGCUUCUUCCCACCUAGGUAACAGAGAGAUAUUUUUAAAUAAAUGGUCAAAGUAAAAAAUGCAAUAAAAUAAGAGUGUUAGUCAUCGCACCCUCCCUGGAGAAAUUCACAGAAAAAUACUACAUAUAAUGUUAUUGAAGAUUCACAUUAUCUUUCCUUUUGUGUGUUCUGAUAAUUGAACAAUUAACACUCUGCAAGUAAAUUAAAAUAAAAUUACACUCUCCUAAAUCCAUUACCCAAGUUAUUUUUAAUAAUUUCCUGUUUACUUGCAGUUUCCAAUUGUUUUUAUUUCACUGUUUUUUUUUUAAUCAGUUCACUCCUUCAGAUGAAAUUUAAAUGGGUUGACUAAAGAUGCCAACUGUUUCUAAAGAAUAUGAAUUGACCCAAAUAAUUGAGCAAGAAUUUGAAGUUAAUGGCAGAAGGGAUCUAUCGCAAGGCAGGAACAAUAGUAGGAGGUAAAUAGCGUAUCAUUAUUCACUUCCCCCAUUCACACUUCUUCUGUGUUUGUUAUAAAUUUCCAAUUUGUUGUGAAGUGAUUUCAAAUUAAAGCUAAUUAUCAACCAUGUAUCAAUGCUUUUAUUGCAGCAGAUAUAUCAUAAAUGUCUCCAUGUCAAAGCACUAUGUUUGGGGAAAUACAAAGAGAAAUAGAGCCAGACUCCUGCCAUCUGAGGAACGUGUGUUCUAGUUGGAAGGGAAAAUGCAGAGUGGAUACAGAAAUAGUAAGAUGGUGGUGUAGCAGGUUCCUGUGGCUGCUGUAACAAAUUGCUGCAGGCUGGAGCUUAAAACAAUCGAAAUUCAUUCUCUCAUGGUUCUGGAGGCCAGAAGUCCAAAUCAAGGAGUCAACAGGGUGUGGUCCCUCCAGAGGAUUCAAGGGAAGAUCCUCUGUGCCUCUUCCAGUUUCUGUUGGCCGCUGACCUUCCUUGUAGUGGUACUCCUCCAUCUGACCCCUGCCUCCUUCAUCACACAGUGUUCUACUCUUACAAGCGUACCAGCCACUGAAUUAAGGACCCACCAUGAUCUAGGAUGUCCUCAUCUUAAUUUAAUCAUAUUUGAAAAAGCCUUAUUUACAAACAAAGUCUCAUCCAAGGUUCUGUGCAGACAUGGAUUUUGGGGAGACACUAAUCAAUCUACUAAAAUAGAGAUAGACUCUGAGUUGGACUGAAUACCUCCAUAAGUUCAGAGCAAGUUGCAACAGAAGGCGUGAUACUGGGCAUCAUGGAAAACACAACUGUACAGGCUUUUAUCACCUGGGCUCAGCCUGCCUGUCCAUCCUCAUGCUUUAUCUCUUUCUAGCCAUAAAGCAUCACACUGAAUUUUCACUUCUCCUGGGAUAUGUGGCAAUCUUUUUAAGCCUUUGCAGAUGGCAAAUUCAUAUAUUUGUUUGUCUCUAUAAUUCUAUGGAGAUUUUUAAAUCUGAGACAAUAGAGGUUAAUUGCCCAUAUGUUCUAUAGACAAGAUGAGAGCUAAGACCAUCUCUGCCAGACCUGCUAAGAGCUGGACAAAACAAGUCCUGAGACCUUAUCCCAAAACUCAUCCUAACUCUAUAAGAGAAGCCCAGAGAUUGAUCAAAUAAAUUGAUUGGAAAAAUUUUUUUUCAAGAAAGCUGUCAAACUAGGGAUGCCUAAGUGGAUCAGUGGUUAAGCAUCUGCCUUUGGCUCAGAUCAUAAGCCUGGGAUCCUGGGAUCGAGUCCUACAUCAGGCUUACUGUGGGGAGUCUGCUUCUCCCUCUGCCUACGUCCCUGCCUCUCUCUGUGUGUGUCUCUCAUGAAUAAAUAAAUAAAAUCCUAAAAAAUAGUUGUUGACCUAGGGUAGGUAAAGGCAUUUUUCCUCCUCUCUUGAGGGAGGCAAGAACAGGGGUUUGAGGAAGCCCUGAGUUCCAGUCCUGACAUAGGGCUCCACAGAGUGCAGUGAGAGAGCAUUUUGAUGAAUUG
This 2062-nucleotide long non-coding RNA is filed under the name Canis lupus familiaris (dog). RNAcentral describes it as "lncRNA (ENSCAFG00000056904.1)". The record is from RNAcentral. Lineage: Eukaryota; Metazoa; Chordata; Mammalia; Carnivora; Canidae.